This 196-nucleotide ribosomal RNA is filed under the name uncultured bacterium. RNAcentral describes it as "partial 16S ribosomal RNA". It matches the Rfam family "Bacterial small subunit ribosomal RNA", at positions 525 to 722 of the family's 1533-position model. The record is from RNAcentral.
ACGGAGGGUGCAAGCGUUAAUCGGAUUUACUGGGCGUAAAGCGUGCGUAGGUGGUUUGUUAAGUCAGUUGUGAAAUCCCAGGGCUCAACCUUGGAAUUGCAUCUGAUACUGGCAGACUAGAGAUCGGUAGAGGUUAGUGGAAUUCCAGGUGUAGCGGUGAAAUGCGUAGAUAUCUGGAGGACAUCGAUGCGAAGCG